This 2000-nucleotide long non-coding RNA is filed under the name Eptatretus burgeri (inshore hagfish). RNAcentral's name for it is "lncRNA (ENSEBUG00000017514.1)". Lineage: Eukaryota; Metazoa; Chordata; Myxini; Myxiniformes; Myxinidae. The record is from RNAcentral.
AACAGGACCCUCUGCAAAAUGGAAAUACGUCACAGGGAGGGAAAAGGAAGACCGGGAUGAGGGGACGCCCUCGAAAGAAGCGAGCGGUAACUGUUGACAAGAUGCCAGUCCUUGAAGAUAGACGCACUGUGGUCAUUAAACCACAGGACGUUGCUAAGUGGGUGCCCGUCGACACGAAUAUUCGUCGCUUUGUUUCACAGACUCUCGAUGAUGCCUUUUCGUCAAAAAUGAGGAAUGGACUGGAGAAGGAAAUGAUUGCUUUUCAUCAGCAAAACCUCAAAUCCCGGCUGAUACCACUAAUGCAGAUGCCUGUUCCGAAGAAGCUAGGACAUAUGCAAAUAGGAAGGAGCCAUACUGAAGACUUGGAGAAACAACUACAGUCAGUUUUGGAGGCGCAAAGGGACGUCACGGAAGCACUCAGAAGCCUGAAGCAUGACAUUUCUGAUACCAAGAAGAAGACCACAUAUGCUCAGAAAUGUUUGCGCCAGAUUUCCCAUAGUAACAAUUCAACGCAGCUAUGUUCGAGGGAGAAUGAUAUUCUCCACAUUCCUCCUCUGCCUCCCGCCAGCUUUUCUUCGUCUUCUUCCUCAGAUGUAAGUCGGUCUUUAUUUCACGGAAUGGUUGUGCGGUUGUUUCUCACCUCGCCACCUCGACAUUGUGAACUUCUAUCUUAUAAAGUUUAAAGGUUUAUAACUGGCUUCCUUUGCUGCAAUCUGGACGGCAUCGAUGCUCGCGUCCUCAUCUUGCUCUGCCAAGCUUUUCUCUUCGAUUUCCGAUGGACGCGGCUCGACGGCAGUGACGCAUUGUGAUACGUACCACGGACAUUUGGUUUGAUAAUUAUAGGUGUAGUUUCAUGGAUUAUUUGAAAGGCUAAAAGAAGAAGGAGGAUCGAAUACAAUUCUCAAAGUUGUUUGGAGUCUAAAAAUGUGGAACCGAGGGAACAGGUAAAGGCCUGCGAACUGCAGGUGGGCUCCUGCUCGGCCUUGUGCCCUGGCCUUCUGCCAAUACGUGCUGUUGAAUCCAAGGGUUUGGACUUCACUUAAUAGAUGGAGGGGAGCCCGGUAAGAACCACACCACCCUACGGUGGAGAAGCAGGUGCUCCAUAAUGUUAUGGAUACAGUCCUAUGGUGUAAGCAACUGGGCAAUACCAAGGAAGUAUUUGGCAUCGCAAGGAAUGCUCAGUACACACCUGGCCAGAACAGGACAGAUCGUAGUUCCAGAGCUUGGAACAGAGUAAGAACUGGUCUUAGAAUCUUACUCGGGUCUUACUGAAGUGAUGGUAAGAUGAGGGACUUGCUUGGGUUGGAGCUUGUGCACUAUGUUUUAAUUGGUGAUAUGUUAACUUUUCUCGUGUUUAGUUUAAUGGUGGGCCUCAACAUUCUGUAAUUAAAAAAAAUUAUUUUGUCUUCCAGGAGGAGAUGAAUAUGGAAGAUUAAGAUGAUUCGGCUUUUCAAUGAAGAAAAACAAUUCAUCUCAUGUAAUUGUAAUUUAGAUUUAACCCCCCCCCCUCUCCCAGGCACAAUGUAUUCCUUUUCUUGUGUUUGUGCCGUCUACAUGUACACAUGGCAGUCACAAUACACUUUCACUGCUUCUUUACUAUAUCGAGUGAAUUGAUUAUUCCAUUGGGAUUUGGGAUUAAAACAAAUUGCACAUGGUAAUCAUAGAUGGCAUGGAGCGUGGCACUCACAAUUCGGGGAUUCCUUGCUGUGAUCAUCAUCAUCAUCAUCAUCAUCAUCAUAACUGUUGGACUGUAUACCUUCAGGACAGUUUGGGUUGGUCAUUGAUUCAAACCAUUUUUUUUUGUCAGCGAUUACAAGAUUGAAGUUUGUUGAUUUGUCGAUCGUUACGUUGCAAGAGUGAAGAUGGUGUAACAAUAUGCAACUGCUUUCACCAUUGAAUAUCCAUUAUACUGCGAUACCAAGAAAAAUAAAGGAAUGUUCUCCCCUCCUCUCCACCUCACGUGCCUCGUUUUCCCACAAUGUAAAGCAGCUCGUGUGUUA